Molecule: ribosomal RNA, 297 nt
Filed under: Salmonella enterica
Lineage: Bacteria; Pseudomonadati; Pseudomonadota; Gammaproteobacteria; Enterobacterales; Enterobacteriaceae
Also listed under: 1 other name
Description: partial 23S ribosomal RNA
Rfam family: Bacterial large subunit ribosomal RNA
Source: RNAcentral
GCGAAUACCGGAGAAUGUUAUCACGGGAGACACACGGCGGGUGCUAACGUCCGUCGUGAAGAGGGAAACAACCCAGACCGCCAGCUAAGGUCCCAAAGUCAUGGUUAAGUGGGAAACGAUGUGGGAAGGCCCAGACAGCCAGGAUGUUGGCUUAGAAGCAGCCAUCAUUUAAAGAAAGCGUAAUAGCUCACUGGUCGAGUCGGCCUGCGCGGAAGAUGUAACGGGGCUAAACCAUGCACCGAAGCUGCGGCAGCGACACUCAGGUGUUGUUGGGUAGGGGAGCGUUCUGUAAGCCUG